This 252-nucleotide ribosomal RNA is filed under the name uncultured bacterium. Its description in RNAcentral is "partial 16S ribosomal RNA". It matches the Rfam family "Bacterial small subunit ribosomal RNA", at positions 524 to 776 of the family's 1533-position model. The record is from RNAcentral.
GACAGAGGGGGCAAGCGUUGCUCGGAAUCACUGGGCGUAAAGGGUGCGUAGGCGGGUCUUUAAGUCAGGGGUGAAAUCCCGGAGCUCAACUCCGGAACUGCCUUUGAUACUGGCAGCUAGAGUCCGGAAGAGGUAAGUGGAACUCCUAGUGUAGAGGUGGAAUUCGUAGAUAUUAGGAAGAACACCAGUGGCGAAGGCGGCUUACUGGUCCGGAACUGACGCUGAGGUGCGAAAGCGUGGGGAGCAAACAGG